RNAcentral lists this small nucleolar RNA (106 nucleotides) under Capronia americana. RNAcentral's name for it is "Capronia semiimmersa A. fumigatus snoRNA Afu_264". It matches the Rfam family "A. fumigatus snoRNA Afu_264". The record is from Rfam by way of RNAcentral. Lineage: Eukaryota; Fungi; Ascomycota; Eurotiomycetes; Chaetothyriales; Herpotrichiellaceae.
CUUUCCUAUGAUGACAAACACGAAAUUAUUAUUAUUUCUGGUACCUCUUAUGCCAGAAGGGAAGCCCAGCAGGGUUCUCUUCGAUGAUCUAAAUGGACUUCUGAUC